This is a long non-coding RNA of Pyrgilauda ruficollis (rufous-necked snowfinch), 301 nucleotides long. RefSeq lists it as uncharacterized. Lineage: Eukaryota; Metazoa; Chordata; Aves; Passeriformes; Passeridae. The transcript is spliced from 3 exons. The record is from RefSeq and is a predicted model, not a curated record.
ACAACCUUCCCCAACCCACAGCCCGUGCUUGCUGGGUUGAUUUUGACUAAGAGUUUCCUUUUCUCCUUCUCCCAGGCUCCCUCUGCCUUGGGAAGCUGUGGAUCUCUGUGACGGGAGUUUGUUUUUUUCCAACUACACCAGGACUCAUCUGAACGGCUGCAAAACCGGAGGUCACUGCCAAAUCUAAACCACGGCAGUGUGCGAUAGGCUCAAAAUGAGCUGCUCCAGUACUUUAAUACGUACCAACAAUUGGCUAUGUUAUGGAAUCCACGAUGUGGCCUUCACUGUUGACCUCUGCAAC